GCAUCUAUAGUCUAAUGGAUAGAACGCUGGACUCCGAUUCCAGUAAUGUGGGUUCGAUUCCCGCUAGAUGCA
RNAcentral lists this transfer RNA (72 nucleotides) under Clostridiales bacterium 41_12_two_minus. RNAcentral describes it as "tRNA-Arg". It matches the Rfam family "tRNA". Rfam says of the family: Transfer RNA (tRNA) molecules are approximately 80 nucleotides in length. Their secondary structure includes four short double-helical elements and three loops (D, anti-codon, and T loops). Further hydrogen bonds mediate the characteristic L-shaped molecular structure. tRNAs have two regions of fundamental functional importance: the anti-codon, which is responsible for specific mRNA codon recognition, and the 3' end, to which the tRNAs corresponding amino acid is attached (by aminoacyl-tRNA synthetases). tRNAs cope with the degeneracy of the genetic code in two manners: having more than one tRNA (with a specific anti-codon) for a particular amino acid; and 'wobble' base-pairing, i.e. permitting non-standard base-pairing at the 3rd anti-codon position. RNAcentral also lists the same sequence under 3 other names. Lineage: Bacteria; Bacillati; Bacillota; Clostridia; Eubacteriales. The record is from RNAcentral.